AUUGAACGCUAGCGGGAUGCUUUACACAUGCAAGUCGAACGAGUUGCGGACGGGUGAGUAAUGUAUGGGGAUCUGCCCUAUAGAGGGGGAUAUCUACUGGACACGGAGCUAAUCCCGCAUACUAUCGGAUGACCCCAUAUGGGAUUAGCUAGUAGGUGGGGUAAUGGCUCCCCUAGGCGACGAUCCCUAGCUGGUUUGAGAGGACGACCAGCCACACUGGGACUGAGACACGGCCCAGACUCCUACGGGAGGCAGCAGUGGGGAAUUUUGGACAAUGGGGGAAACCCUGAUCCAGCCAUCCCGCGUGUAUGAUGAAGGCCUUCGGGUUGUAAAGUACUUUUGGCAGAGAAGCGGUAUCUGCAGAAGAAGCACCGGCUAACUACGUGCCAGCCGCCGCGGUAAUUC
Molecule: ribosomal RNA, 405 nt
Filed under: uncultured bacterium
Lineage: Bacteria
Description: partial 16S ribosomal RNA
Rfam family: Bacterial small subunit ribosomal RNA
Source: RNAcentral